RNAcentral lists this transfer RNA (86 nucleotides) under Candidatus Beckwithbacteria bacterium. Its description in RNAcentral is "tRNA-Leu". It matches the Rfam family "tRNA". Rfam says of the family: Transfer RNA (tRNA) molecules are approximately 80 nucleotides in length. Lineage: Bacteria; Candidatus Beckwithiibacteriota. The record is from RNAcentral.
GCCGAGGUGGCGGAAUUGGUAGACGCGUAGGUCUCAAAAACCUAUGAGGGUCACACCUCGUGCGGGUUCGAUUCCCGCCCUCGGCA